GCUGGGCUUCUAGCGUCCGGGCCGGUCCUCCCAGCUGCGGCCGCAGGCCCACGCCCCGUCCUUGCCCACACCUCCGCCCGCCGACCCAGGACACGUCUUUCCUCCGCUCCCUCGGGAUUUCAGGUCUGCCUUCCCGCCUCUCCCAAUUUCCCAGCUCGGGCGCUGGCCUUGGGGCCGGGCUGGGCUCACCUCCCUCCCGCCUUUCUUCACGCUUCUAGGGUUCUUUCGCCCUGGCCUUGCCUCCUCCCCCAUAGCGACUCACGGUUCCCCUCCCUAGGCACCAACAGUGCUCUCACGUCGGGCCAGUGCCCCGCUUCUCUUGGGGGAAUUGGGAGAAAAUUUUGGGAGGUAGGAGGCGGCCCACUUUUGUGGGAUCGUUUGGAGGAGGAAGCCCAAGCCUCCAGCGCUCCGAAUUCUAGCUCCUCCAAAUCAAACCUUACCUUCUCGCUCCCAUCUCCUACCCAGUGUCCACAUCAAGCCUCCACGUCCCCUUCUCUACCCCACACCUGCUGCCCCUCGGCACACCCGGGGAGGAGUCCGAGAGAAAGCGCAGGGAUAAGGGCUCCUCCCAGCAGAAGCCCAGAGGUCCAGACGCACCUGUAGGGCCCAGGGGGUGCCUGGAGUGGGGGAUGCGCUAGCGCUUGGACAAGGAUCCAGGCCCCCAGCCCCCAUCUUUCCUCUCUUUCCCUGGGAAGCCGGGGAUUCCUGGCGGUGGGCUGGCUGCCCCGGACCUCCCGGCUCCCAGCCUCAGCCCAGUCCCAGGCCACCCCUGCCCCCAGCCCACUUCAGGCCCUAUAUAUAGCACGGGUCUCCAUAGCCCUCUGCUGGACCUGACGUCAGGAAGAACUUGAUCUUGCCUGCUUCGCUCCUGCUUCUGAAACUGAUCCUUGAAAUGAGAGAACAGACUCUACACAAUUCCCAUGGCCUUGACAUAAGGUCUCCCUAUACUAAUCUGAAGUUUAAUGGGCUCGUGGUUCCCCUACUCCCAAGUGGAGGAAGAACUUUCCUGUCCACACUUUGACUUCUGCAGUGACCUUCAGAUUCCAACAGCUAUAUCCCAUCUCUGCUGCGACCUAGCGGUGCACUGUUGUAGGUGAAAACAGAAAUCCAGGAGCAGGAGGGGACAUGACACUAUUCAUAGGUGGCCUCCCCCAAACUCCAACACUGCAAGAGCCCAGGUGACUGCACAGAGUGGGGCAGAGGUAAUAUUUCAGCCCUGGGCGUUUCAGGUAAACAGCUUCUUUGGUCAAGAUGACAAAGGUAUUUAUUACAGGAAAUCCCUGGCAAGGAUGAUCUAUGCUUGUCCAAGAGAGCAAUAAAGGCACUUUUGCCCGGAGCACUGGGCUUCCGAGCCUGGCCUGCGAGUGUCUGACUGGGGCGGCGCUCACAUUCCUGCGGGAGACACAGUCUGCUCUUCUGCUUAGGAAGCUGUGCACAGCCUGCACCCCGGGUCCCGCCAGGGAGAUUGACACCUGCGACUUUGCUUGCGACCUGCUGUCCUCUCAACUCCUGGAUGGAACCGCAGCUGCGUUUGACCAGACUUUCAGGAAAGAUAAACCUGCCAUUGGGCAGCCACACCCACCGGCCUGCACACCCACACUCACACUCGGUGUCCAGCCCUCUCUGUUUUCUCCCAGUGUGGUGGUGAAUUUCUAAAACCUGGAUGAAUGUUUCCAAAACUUGCCCCAUGGGGAAUUUGUUAAAAAAUACAGAUUCCCAGGGCCUCUCCCACCCAGUCUGAUUUAGUAGGUUGGUGGGGUGGUGUUAAGAAGUUGUCACUUUAACAAGAUCACAGGUAGUUCUUGUGAUUGGGUAAAUUCUGCAGGUGUGGCCCAGGGUUUCUCCAACUACAGCAGGUAUCUGAGUCAGCCCGUGGGCUUGUGGAGAAAGGAGUGCUGACUUAUUUUAUUUUAUUUUAUUUUAUUUUAUUUUAUUUUAUUUAUUUAUUAAUUUAAUUUAAUUUAAUUUUAUUUUAUUUUAUUUUAUUUUACUUUUUGAGUGCUGACCUUCUUAGCUGGGCCUGAGAAUUUGCAUUUCCAACAAACUCCCAGGUGACGUGGAUGCUGCUGGUGUGGGAGCGGUGGGUUGAGAGCCUGUUGAGAGUCUGUGUGUAAACAGACCCUGGAGCCAGGCUGAAGCUGUUUAAACCUCAGGGUCAUGGUUUGUAAUACGGGUUUGGUCAUAAUAUUUACUAGCUAAGGGGUGUUAUGAGGAUUAACUGAGUUAUGUUCGUAAAGCUCUUAGAGCAGUGUGUGGCACAUGGUAAAUUAGUUAUUAUGUAAGUGUUUGUUAAACAGAUAAAAUGCUAGACUAGGUUGUAGGUGUCUAUUUAUUCAUGCACUUAUUGAAUACUAAAUGACACGUAUCCUGCUGCUGGAACCCUCAUGAGAAUGGGACCUUGUGGGGGUGCAAGAGGCUGACCCAGUCCCAUCUCAUUCUGAUCAAGAGAGGCAGACUUUCUGGUUACAGCUGAUGCAUUCUUCCAGCGUGCUACUUAUCUCCCCAGACCUUAAAAACAUAAUGUGAUCAACAUCAGGACCCUGUCCUACAGUCCUAGCACCCUGGACUUGUCUUCCUGGUGCCCAUCCCAAUCCUUAACCACACAUUCAUCUGUGUGAUGGUGUAACAACUAGUUCCUCGCGGAUAGCGUGCCUGGUUAGGACAGGCUUUGUUUCUGUGGCUUGUCCCUGCUGAGUCCUCAACACACAGGGCAGGGCCUGGUGCAUUAUAGCUGCUCAGUAAACUUGUUGAAUGGAUGGAUGGAUGGAUGGAUGGACGGACAAGUGGAUGGAUGAUACACAAUGGUCCCUCACCAGCCUCUUCCCAGGUGGCUAGAGCAGUCAGGCUUUCCCACCUCCAUUCUUGAUCACUUUAACCUUUUUUUUCCACUGCACCUGCAAAGGUAUUUCUAAAAUCUGGGUCUGAUCUGCCCAUUUCCCUGUUUGAAACUUCUCCUGUGGAACUCUUAUAAUAAUUUACUUCUUUGGGCCAUGUAUAGACUAAACUCCACGGCUUAUGAAUGAAUGCAUGUCUCCAUUUACAAAUAAUCAAAGCCACAUACUGCCAAACAGACCUGUUGAUUAGCAGGAGAUAAGAAGUACUAAUAAAA
Molecule: long non-coding RNA, 3109 nt
Organism: Canis lupus familiaris (dog)
Lineage: Eukaryota; Metazoa; Chordata; Mammalia; Carnivora; Canidae
Exons: 3
Source: RefSeq, a predicted model, not a curated record